CGAAAGCCUGACGGAGCAACGCCGCGUGAGGGAUGAAGGCCUCUGGGCUGUAAACCUCUUUUCUCAUGGAAGAAGAUCUGACGGUACUUGAGGAAUAAGCCACGGCUAAUUCCGUGCCAGCAGCCGCGGUAAUACGGGAGUGGCAAGCGUUAUCCGGAAUCAUUGGGCGUAAAGCGUCCGCAGGCGGCCUUGAAAGUCUGUCGUUAAAGCGUGGAGCUUAACUCCAUUUCAGCGAUGGAAACUACAAGGCUUGAGUGUGGUAGGGGCAGAGGGAAUUCCCGGUGUAGCGGUGAAAUGCGUAGAUAUCGGGAAGAACACCAGUGGCGAAGGCACUCUGCUGGGCCAUAACCGACGCUCAUGGACGAAAGCCAGGGGAGCG
This 379-nucleotide ribosomal RNA is filed under the name uncultured cyanobacterium. RNAcentral describes it as "bacterial SSU rRNA". It matches the Rfam family "Bacterial small subunit ribosomal RNA", at positions 376 to 770 of the family's 1533-position model. Lineage: Bacteria; Bacillati; Cyanobacteriota. The record is from RNAcentral.